Molecule: ribosomal RNA, 497 nt
Filed under: uncultured bacterium
Lineage: Bacteria
Description: partial 16S ribosomal RNA
Rfam family: Bacterial small subunit ribosomal RNA
Source: RNAcentral
GAUGAACGCUGGCGGCGUGCCUAAUACAUGCAAGUCGAGCGAACGGACGAGAAGCUUGCUUCUCUGAUGUUAGCGGCGGACGGGUGAGUAACACGUGGAUAACCUACCUAUAAGACUGGGAUAACUUCGGGAAACCGGAGCUAAUACCGGAUAAUAUUUUGAACCGCAUGGUUCAAAAGUGAAAGACGGUCUUGCUGUCACUUAUAGAUGGAUCCGCGCUGCAUUAGCUAGUUGGUAAGGUAACGGCUUACCAAGGCAACGAUGCAUAGCCGACCUGAGAGGGUGAUCGGCCACACUGGAACUGAGACACGGUCCAGACUCCUACGGGAGGCAGCAGUAGGGAAUCUUCCGCAAUGGGCGAAAGCCUGACGGAGCAACGCCGCGUGAGUGAUGAAGGUCCUCGGAUCGUAAAACUCUGUUAUUAGGGAAGAACAUAUGUGUAAGUAACUGUGCACAUCUUGACGGUACCUAAUCAGAAAGCCACGGCUAACUACGUG